GCAACAAUGUCAAUAUUACAGCCUGGCAGGUGACCGCGUUGGAGAGAGGAGGGCAGCUGCCAGCAGGCAGCCCCCCGGGGAAAACAGGGGAGUUUCAGUGGUUUCUGGAGCCUGAGGAACAGGGAGAUGCCCUGAGCUAAGCAGGAGUUAAGCGCAGUCAUGCGGAGGCCUGGCUGUUACGAUUGAAGGUCGCUUCGUGAAUAUCGAUAGUUUCUGUAGGUAUUUUUAUAUCUAUAGAAAGAUAAAAAGUAAAAGUAGAAUAUAGAGCAUUGUGCAGGAGAAGAAGAACCCUUUAUGUAAGAUGUGACCUGAGGGGCAUCAUGCCAGGCUGUCCCUUCCAGAUUGGGAAGGAUUCAGUGUUUUGUAUGGCACGAUGGAGAGUUUUGAAAAGUAAGAUUUCCUCUUUGGUGCAGGUCCGAUGGGUGAGGCCUGGCAGCUUGUGCACUGCCACUGUGCUAACCUGCGUGCCUCUCCUUCCCUCCCUGCUCCGCAGGCACAGCACGGGAUCAGCAGGGAGGGGCGGCUCUGUCGUGGAGGAUCCAGGAGCUCGGCGCGCGUGUCUGAGCCUGCAGCUGCGAGCCGCAGCAGGACCCAAGGUCUGCACACGCCUGUGUACAGAAGAAUUGUGCGAGGACAGAAAAGUUGCAAUGGCAUUGCAGUUCCCUGCACAGAAAAUAGCCAGGGAGGUGAAGCCCGGCCCAGUGGUGCCGUUCGACUGCGCCCCGACUGGGAGCAUCAGGUUCAUUCCCAUUGUGAUCUGCAAAUGGCAAAUCAGGGUUGCUCUUUGUUAAAACCAAAAGCGCUCUCAGAAUGUUGAUGGAGGUGAUGAUUGCAGGGGCGAUGCUUCUGGAGAAUAGCUCCCCCAUCUUCCCCAGGGCCUGGGCAGAGAGAGGUGGAGCUCGGAGUCCCCCCAGUCCUCCCGCGGGUGCUGGCGUCUGCAGCGCCAUCGGGACGGGAUCCACGGCGCAGCUCCCUCCUCCAGAGGCCGAAAGCUCAGCCUCCAGUUUCGUGCAGGGUGAUCACCUUUCCAAGGCAAUACAAGCACUUCCCAAGAGCAGCUGGUGAAGAUGGCGCAGAAGCAAGGACAAGGGUGCAGUGAAAAGUUUGGUGCAUCGAUCCAGCUUCCGGACAUGUGAUCUUCUACCCUGCCCCAUGGCAAGAAGAGAAGAAGAGUUUGGUGAUUUUGCUGCUCUGCUCUCUCAAGGGUGUUGCAGGCUGCGUAGCAGGGAGUGAAGCCCUUGUCGCUGCUCAUCAGACACUUUCCUACAGAAUUCUCCCUGCAGUGAUAAAAUUAGACUGGUGUUAGUGAGCUGCCAAGUAGAGCAGGUAACAUUGGACAAGAAUGGUUUCUGAGCUGCUGUUCACUAGCACGUGUUUCCCCUUUCCAGCGCGGUGCCGCCGCCCAAGAAAGGAUUUUUGUGGGUCAGCCAGAUGUGCUCCUGCCUCCCACUGAGGCUCUGAGAUGGAGCCGAGUUUGCAUUCCAGUUUAUUGCAACAGAGGGUCAUCGGAAAUUUCCUCAGCUAUCUCAGGCACAGAGCCAUGGAAGCAAGUAAGCCUGAGCUCCUGCGUGCUUGCUGUGAGCCUUGAGACGAGUGUGCAUCAUUGCAGGCUUGGAAUUUAUUGAAAUGCGCUAAGGAAACCGGCUCUGG
This is a long non-coding RNA of Haemorhous mexicanus (house finch), 1650 nucleotides long. RefSeq lists it as uncharacterized. Lineage: Eukaryota; Metazoa; Chordata; Aves; Passeriformes; Fringillidae. The transcript is spliced from 4 exons. The record is from RefSeq and is a predicted model, not a curated record.